This is a long non-coding RNA of Aquila chrysaetos chrysaetos, 3795 nucleotides long. RefSeq lists it as uncharacterized. The record is from RefSeq and is a predicted model, not a curated record. The transcript is spliced from 3 exons. Lineage: Eukaryota; Metazoa; Chordata; Aves; Accipitriformes; Accipitridae.
CAAGGGAUCCUCUCCAAAUUACCGCCGCCCCGGGUCCCGCUAGGAGCGCUGCGCCCCGACGCCCGGCAAAGCGGCCGCCCCGGGAGCGGGAACGGGAGGAGGGCGGCGAGGCGCUUGGGUGGCUUCAUUUCCCCACCCCCCCCGUCCCGCUGUCUUAGCCCCAAGGGCCCUGCCUCGGCCGGGUUUGCUCGGCCGCCCUCGGGGCUUGGCGGAGGCUUAAAAGGCGCUGGUGUAGCCGCUGGAGCGCGGCUGAGGUGCUCCUGUGAGAAAAGCUCCAACCAGCGUGAGACUUGCGCUUAAAAGUUAAUCCCUGCAGCGCUCCGACGGCGCUGGAGCUCAUCCUGCCUCUUGCUUACAGGUGAUUCAGUCCCUCGCUUUGCCUAUUCUUAAUAUUGGAGUAAUUGCUGUGAUACCGCCCAGCAACAGACCGCUCUUCACCCCCAGGCGCUUCACGCGGGGACCUCAUCCUGGCCAUAGGUGCUGUUGCAGUUGCUCCUCAUUUACGCGGGUAGACCUAUUAAAGAGCACGAGGCUUCUUGCGCGAUCAGAUAUAUCGUAAUGAAGUCUCGCCCCUGUGGCCCUAUGAAACGAACUCCCUUCGAGUCUGCAAGCGUCUGCUCAGCAGUGGAUCUGGCUGGACGUUUGCAGCCCGCUUGAGGAACGGUAAGUCUCUCUUGCCUACUACGUUUGCAGGAAUCUAAAUUUACAGUACUCGGACGAGCGGAGCGCAAGUAGGAUUGAACUGAAACUGAUGCUUUAAGAAGUACUUUGGCUUUUACCCAGUCAUCGUUCCUGGAAGGAGAUAUGAAGUAACAAGUGCAAGAUGUUUCUACAUGGCAAAAUAUUACAAUACACCUGCACUGGCAUAAUUACGUCUCUGUAUUUAUGCCAGUAAGUUUUCACGUGUAUAUGAAGUUCGAGGUAUGGUAUUAAUCUCAUUUUAAAACCCAGCAGAACUGGGGCCCGGAGAAGUUAAGGCCCUGAGAGUUUUACCAGAUGAACAGUAGUCCUGGACUCACCCACCUGCCCACCCAGGUGCAUUACAACUCUGAAGACACAGAACUGGAAUGGCUUGCCCCAGGUCACAGAAGACGCUGACAUAAGGACUUUGCUCGAGGAAUAUUACAUUUCUGGUAGAGAAGGGAGGUUGCACUGUGUUCUGAUGGCUAAUCGCAUGCUGCCACGAAGCACAGUAUUGCUGCCCGCUGUACUGCACCAGUACUGUACUUUCUAGAGAAUGAAAUUCUCCCUUUGGAUCUUGCCUGCAUCCAUGUAGAAGCUUUUGAAGGUACUUUCACUUUCUCCUGGCUAUCACCUCAGCAAGAGAUAAGAGACUCCAGACAAGGAUCAAACGUUCAGUAUGGACAUCACCACAGAAGGCCCCCAGAAAACUGCAAACAGCAAGAGGUAGCAAUGCUGCCUUACUCCAGCUGAAAACCUGCAAUGUGAAAGUGGCCUUACAGUCAAUGCACAGUUGGUCCAGCUUCUGCAAGGUCCAGUCACCCAGUACAUGAAUGCUACAGCUUGGGGAACCCUACAGCUCCCCCACCCUGCUCAUGUGCCUAAGGACUUCAGCACCUAGAAGACAGCACUGGUAGACUAUAUCACCCUGGUUAAGCAAAGCAUACGCUUGUCAGGGAGCGACCAGAUGGAGGAUUACAACAAUUUAUGGCCUGCAGUUAGACAGGCUUGCACUGUGAUCUCAUCAAAUCUUGAACAAAAUAGGUCAAGCUUGGUCAGUGUUCAGAUGACAUACACUCUAGGGAAAACACAGAUACUGUAAGAAACAGUUUAGGAUUUGGAUUUAGGAUUCGGCUGACAAAACUGCUAAGGCACUGUCCCAAUUUUAGGCUCGAUUCCUAGAUGUCUGAGGUACCCAAAACAGGUCCCUGGUCUGUCAUGUAGAAGGGCCACUGUGCUGCUGGAAGCAUAUUUCUCAUUUUUCAGAUGAGAAAUAAAAUUAUAGUCAUGCCUUGUGAUUAAUUAAAUAAAUCAUUCUUGUCUUUGCUUGUGGACAUGGCGUUUCCAGAGGGCAACAUAAAUGGAGAAAGGGAGCUUGUUUGGUUUCUGUGAUCCUGGUACAACCUGCUAGCCCUCUCUCUGCAAAAUCCCAUUUUAAAGCUUUUCAAUACCAGGGCACCAAAAGCAAGAAAUUUAAAUUCCUUUAAGACUGCAAACAUCAUGAGAACUUGCUAGCAAGACAUAUAGAAAGCAAAGCAAAUUAUAUAAUCUAUCACUUUACAGAUACAUUCCUUUUCCUUUACAUUCACAUUUCCCUUCCAUUCACACUCCCACAUACCAACCUUUAAUUCAAGUCAUUUCCCCAGAUGCUGUUCAUUCAUAUGUUGAUUUUAAGCUCCUUGGUUCAAAUCCUGUGUCAUUUUCUUUGCCUGCAAAACACAGUAUGCAUGUAGAAUUUUAUGUGUAACUAUCAUGCUCAAAAACCCCAUGCAAAUUCGAUCUCCAAAUAAUUAAAGACAAUGACAACUAUGCUUCUUGGGAAAUUAAAUACUGAGAAUGUAAUUAAUCAAACUGAAAUUUAGCCAGGACACCGAAAUGACACCACUGGCUCAAGAGGAAUGUGCUCUUGAGGAUUCUGGUAAUUGCAAGUGGUGAGGACUCUGCUCUCCUAUCUCCCUCACAGUAUAACACCUCCUGCAUGCUGUGUGGUGCAGGAUGCUGCAGAGUGAACACUAAGGCCAAAAUGAAUUUAUGAACCUCGCAUUCUCUCUGUGAUUGUAUUGCUCAGAUGCAUCAGUCUAUCAGUCUACAAAAGAAUUAAUUUCUAGAUUUUUUUAGGCUGAAAAGCAUCCUCAUAUUAUGUGCUUUGUUUUGAUUUUUGUUUUUCUUUGCCUUAUGGUCAUUCAUCUUUGAUGAAAGUGAAUCAGAGAAGCAAUACCUGCCUUAUCGUUGAUUUGUGGUGUAUAAUCGUGUUAAAGACAGAUCACUGGUCUCCUCCUUACUACAGUGCCAUUUAUAACAGACAAUUAUGCCUGCAUGGUGCAGUUGUCAUGAUCUAGUGAUUGUAAAUGCUUGUUAUCAGUGUGGAGCCAGCUAAAUGCUGUGUGUUUCUCUUUAAAGGUGAUUUGAUUUUCCAGAGCUGUCUGUCAUCCUUGAAGUUUUCUCUAGUGCAGCUCAGUUCUCAAUCUACACACAAGUGAUGUCCUUCUGAUGUGUAGCAUGUGGGGCAGAAUCUGCGUACUGCUCCCACCUACUCCAGGCGAGGACUACAGUCCAGAGAAAAGAACAGCAGCGUGUCUACACUGGGAAAUCUCCAGACAUUGCGCUGCAUUGAAAGGAAGCCCUACUAAUGGCAGUGACAAUGUGCAAAUGCCAAAAUAAAGGGUAAGGGGGGGGGGGUGUGUGUGAAUACAGUGGCACUGUCUACAAAAAGGAAAUGUACCAAAACACUCUAGUUGGUUUUAAAAUUAGCUGGAGAAGAUGCAGAGGGGUCUAAGUCUUAAUGACCUCACUUCUACAAUAUGCCACUAAUUAGCUCUGCGAUGAAUAACUGGGAACAAAAUAAGGAGUGACAGACUAGGUCAGCCAGGGGUUUGCCAAGCCCUUGUCUCAUCUUUCCUACUGGGGCCUGUAUGUGAUGAUUUUUCAUUCUGUCUACACUAUCUUUUAAUAGUAAUCAGGACUGGAAUUGCAUUGUGUUAUACACUAUACAAACAUACACCAAAAUACUGCACUUGCUCUCUGAUCCUGUAAGGCAUGGGAAGAGCAGCUCCUCCCCAGCUGAUAUUUGUGCAGCUCCUUCUGGUGGGCAUGCACAUGCCUUCAUUUUUUCUC